RNAcentral lists this small nuclear RNA (71 nucleotides) under Homo sapiens (human). Its description in RNAcentral is "partial ncRNA". The record is from RNAcentral. Lineage: Eukaryota; Metazoa; Chordata; Mammalia; Primates; Hominidae.
AGAUCACUUGAGCCCAGGAGGUUGAGGCUGCAGUGAGCUGAGAUUGCACCAUUCCAGCCUGGGCAACAGAG